UUUUAGUAUAUGCAAUGAUGUUAGAUUUCAACUUCCAUCAAAUACUUUUUAUUAAUUCAAAAGAAAAGUAAGAUUUUAGUAUAUGCAAUGAUGUUAGAUUUAAACUUCCAUCAAAUACUUUUUUUUUUUGGGUGAAAAAGAAGCAUUAAUAAUUAAGCAAUAUACAAGAGUUCGAGGGCCUAGUCCGGUUCAAGUACAAAAACAUGUUGGCUAAGCGCAGAAGGAGAUACAUAAGGUGUCACAUUUCUCAUAUAGCAUGAUCCUAUUUUAUUCGCCCGAAGUUCACAGGCUACAAAAAGAGGUGGGACUUCCAAAAAGACAUGAUUAGCAAAGUGGUUGUUGUUGACUCCUUCUUUGGCCAGAGCAUCAGCUAUUCUAUUAUGUUCUCUGUAGCUGUGACGAACUGGUGGAGAACCUAUUCGUCGAAUCAGGGACCUACAAGCAUCAAGAAUGGGAUCAUACAAUAAAUGGCCCUGCUGUAAUAGGGCAAUAAUAAGCUAAGAAUCGGUGUUGAUUUCGACUGGUAACCAAUUGUAAGCAUUAACCAGAGAAAGACCCUUAAGGAGGGUUAAGAGCUCCAUAUGAGUGUUGGUAGUAUGUGGAAAUUUGGCAAAAAACCCCUAUCCAGUUCCCACUAGAAUCUCGAACCACUCCCCCAAUACCCCCUUUCCCUGGGUUACCCUUACAAGCCCCAUCAGUGUUGAGUUUGUAAUGAGUAAUGGGAGGGGGAGUCCAGCAAAGGGAUAUAGAGAGGGGAGGGGUUGGAGCAUGGUAGUUGGAUAGGGGAAGGAAUUCAAUGGCCUCAGAAUAGGCAUCCCUAAAACUGAGUCGUCCUUGGAGAUGAUUGAAGAGGUUGUUUUUGUUUUUCCAAAUAUGCCACAGACAGUAAGGCAGGAGAGUAGACCAAGGAAGGAGGUUGUCAAAGGUGGAGGCUUGAAGAAGUUUCCAGUUGCCUGACCAAUUGGAGGAUGGAACAGUUGACUCGAAAUGUUGAGAUUGCCCCUGUAGGCUUCAAUUAGAUUUGUCCAUAAGUGAAGGGCAUCAUUACAAAAGAAGAAAAUAUGGGAUAUAUCUUCGCAAGGGUGGGAAGAGGAGGCACAAGAGGUGUUGAUGUGAAUACCCUAUGUAACGAUCCUCCCGGUCGUUUGUGAAAUUUUCUUAUCCUUUCUAUUUUAGCUUUCUUCGUAGUUGGUGUACGUGAAUUUAAACUUAAGAGAGGCAUAGUAUCGAUUCGUGAGGUGUUCCAUAGUGAGUUAGUCAUUAUUUGAGUUAUUGAGUUUUAAGAAAAUUAUGUUCGAAAGUUUAUUAAUAAUUGUGGGUAUUUUAGAUAAUUAAUUUAAUUAAUAGUGAAGGGUCAAAUUAUAAUUUUUAUGUCUCCAACAACCUACGUUAAGAUUAAUUGGAGUUAAUAGGUUCAACUCUUAAACCAUAACAGAGGAAAAAAAAAAGAGAAAAGAAGAAAACGGCUAUCAAUAUUGGGCGAGGUUCAUCACCACGGUUGACAGAAAGUGUUCCAGAGGCUCAGACACGACCUCACCUCUAGAGUUGAUAGUAGAUCUUGAUCCGAAGGGUGAGUACUCCGUCUUCAGGCUGCCACGGGUCAUCUUAGUUGUUAUUGUCUAUCUUUCGGGUUGCUCUGGAAUUCAUAAUGGUACACAAUCAUUGACUUUUCUUUAUAGAAGAACAAGAACAAUGUCCUUUGGCAAACGGGAGACUGGAGAAAGAUUGUAUUUUCACUUGUUUAGAUAUCAUUGACAUGCAGCUUGUCUGUCUGUGUCAUACCAUUUGUACACUCCAAAGUAAUAUAUGACAUGAGAAUUUAACAGCAGUGACUUUUAGAAUAGUUUUAGCACAAGCUUUCAAAGCAGGCAUAAAGUCACACCCUCUUUCCGAUUGUGGAACUAAAGAUAAACAUGGUUUUUAGCUUCUUCUGUUUUCCACAUCACUUGGUGUUAUGUCAAAUCUCUAGCGCUAGCUAUGGUCAUGGUUUCCUUCAGAACUACAGAUGGUGCAAUGUCAAUCUUAUAGUGGCCUCCUAGACAGCUAAAAAAAAACCGAGUCAUAUUACCGUACAGAGAUAUUACUUGGUCUUUAUAUUACAAUUUGCCAACCCAAACACUAUAAAUCAUCACACACUAGCCUCAAAAUGAAUUUAAAAUAUACAUAAAGUAUACUCUGUAAUAAUCAGCAAUAUCUUAGUGCUGCUUUAUUGAUAGAAAAUAAGCAUCCAAAAUUUUAAAACUAAAGCUAAUUCUUUUUGGAUAACCAAGAAAUCCUAUGGGGCCAGCGAUGUACGAUCCCAAAAUUCAUGGAUAAUGGGCUUAUUCCUACCUUUCUCCACUUAAAUGCCAUAUUGUUGUUUGUGGCAGGGUUCAAAUCUAUGACAUGCGUCUAACACACACAUCACUUGUUGACGAUUACCACUAGACCAACGCACUAGGGCAAGUGGGCAACUGAUGCGAAUUCACGUGAUAACUGUAUCACAUCAAAACUAAUAAACACAUCCACGCAGAAUAUUGCACUACUUAAAAUCCAUAAUUUCCAAAUGGAAUUACUACAUUUAUCACUUUCUUCCUGAGAUAGGCGAUACAUGAUGCAAACUGGGCCACCAGUCAAACAGCAAAACCAGAACCAAAAAUCCCAAUACUCGGUGUCGGUAUUAGUGCCACUUUACAAUCAAUCUGCUAAACAGGAAUCUACACCACUAACAAAAGCAAAAUCAGGCAGGGUUAAUAAAAUAAAACGGGGAAAAGUCAGCAGUUAAGAGAUGCUUGGCAUUCCACGAACGACGCUAAAAGAUACACAAAUGGUAACAUAACUUGCUUUAGCUUCAAAGGAAAUGCACAAUGAAAGAAAGUGAUUCUUGCACAGGUGCACUGAAUAGGGAAAAGAACCUAUUCUAGUCACAGAAGGAGGUAUGGUGUAGUAUAUCUCCCCGAAAUCAUCAAUGUAACUUGAAUUUGCAAAACAAGGACAAAGAGUUUAAGAUAUAGCGGAGGGCUCCUAGCGUCAUAGAGGAAUACUGCCGGUUGCUGAGGAGAGAAGUGGCACCUCCAUCCGAAACCGGAAAGAAAGAAGAAGAAAAACAUUGGUUGGGAAGGCCGUGUAAGGCCUCUUGCUAGACGGUGGAAGCAACUUAAGCCUCUACUAAGAUCGUUAAGACUUUGAU
Long non-coding RNA from Capsicum annuum, 3169 nucleotides. RefSeq lists it as uncharacterized. NCBI's taxonomy places the organism in Eukaryota, Viridiplantae, Streptophyta, Magnoliopsida, Solanales, Solanaceae. The transcript has 3 exons. The record is from RefSeq and is a predicted model, not a curated record.